GGCCUCCCUCUGUGGGGUGAUCUAUCGUGGGGCCCCCAGAUUCAUCGCCCCACAGAGGGAGGCC
This is a non-coding RNA of Myotis brandtii (Brandt's bat), 64 nucleotides long. The record is from Rfam. NCBI's taxonomy places the organism in Eukaryota, Metazoa, Chordata, Mammalia, Chiroptera, Vespertilionidae.